RNAcentral lists this long non-coding RNA (896 nucleotides) under Androctonus crassicauda. The record is from RNAcentral. Lineage: Eukaryota; Metazoa; Arthropoda; Arachnida; Scorpiones; Buthidae.
GUGCUAUUGCUAGAUAUCUAACUUAUAUAUAUAUAUACAUAUAAAUCUAACUAUUAAAUAUGUCCAUAUUACCAAUAUUUUAAAAGAGCUGCAAAAAGGUAAUGCACAUCUUAACUAAAAAAUGAAAAUUUAUGCAUGAACUAUAAAAGUUGUCCAUCCCUAUACUAAUUGAUUUUUAUGAUGAAUAUUAUGCAUGCAAAAAUUAUCUGGCAAAGAGUUUAUUGGCAAGAUUUCACACUGAAUAAUAAUUUUUUUUUUUUUCCAGUUUCAGUUGAAUUUUAUAAGCUAUUAGGGGUCAUUUGAUUGCUUUAGUAAUAUAUGGAAUUAUAAUUUGACAACUUUUCAGAUUUAAGAUGUUAUAUAUGAUACAAAAUUUAGGUAAGAUUCUAGAUGAAGUACAGAAUAUAUCUGAUUGGAUAGUGGAUCUGUGUCCUGAGGCCUUACUGUUGAAUUUUUUGAGUUGCCAAAUGAGACAUGUUGAGAGUAUCAUAUGGUACAAACAUAUUACACAAACAGAAAUCCAUACUCUUGACACUGAACACACACAACCCACAGGACCCAUUUUAGUCAUUUUUAUUCUUUUAAUAUUAAAAUUUUUUUAUGAGAACGAAAAUUUGCAAAUAAGUAAAACCAUAUCCACUUUGUAAAAAUUAAAAUUUUUCAUUCUCAUAGUUAUUAAAUUUGGUGUUAAGGUAAAAUAAUAAUAUACAUUUUAAUAUUGUUAUUAAAUUAUAAAAAGAUAUAAGGAGAUAAUCAAAAAUAAUUGAUACAUUCUAUUCUACUUUUUAUGUACUUGACUUUAAGUUCUGUAUUAAUUUAAAUACUGUACAGGAAUACCUCGCUUAGUGUGGCUUCACUCAGUGCUGACCCCGCUAUAGUAUGGUUAGUAAUUUGAG